Molecule: ribosomal RNA, 484 nt
Filed under: uncultured bacterium
Lineage: Bacteria
Description: partial 16S ribosomal RNA
Rfam family: Bacterial small subunit ribosomal RNA
Source: RNAcentral
AGUGAACGCUGGCGGCGUGCUUAACACAUGCAAGUCGAACGAGAACGGGUUAUAGCUUGCUAUAAUUGUCAGCUAAGUGGCGCACGGGUGAGUAAUGUAUAGGUAAUAUGCCUCUUACUAAGGGAUAACAAAUGGAAACGUUUGCUAAUACCUUAUACUCCUUAUUAACAUAAGUUAAUAAGGGAAAGAUUUAUUGGUAAGGGAUUAGCCUGUAUUGUAUCAGUUAGUUGGUGGGGUAAUGGCUUACCAAGACUAUGACACAUAACUGGUUUGAGAGGAUGAUCAGUCACACUGGAACUGAGACACGGUGCAGACUCCUACGGGAGGCAGCAGUGGGGAAUAUUGCACAAUGGACGAAAGUCUGAUGCAGCAACGCCGCGUGGAGGAUGACACAUUUCGGUGCGUAAACUCCUUUUAUAUGAGAAGAUAAUGACGGUAUUAUAUGAAUAAGCACCGGCUAACUCCGUGCCAGCCGCCGCCGUAA